UCGGUUGAGCGUCCGGCUUCGGCUCAGGGCAUGAUCUCAAAGUUCGUGGGUUCGAGCCCCGCAUCAGGCUCUGUGCUGACAGCUCAGAGCCUGGAGCCUGCUUCCGAUUCUGUGUCUCCCUCUCUCUCUGCUCCUCCCCCGCUCAUGCUCUGUCUCUCUCUCUCUCUCCCCUUCAAAAAUAAAUAAAAACAUUAAAAAAAACCACAAAACUUUAGAAUAAAAAGGAACAAGGUGGGGCUACCUACACUGGCUCAGAAAACUGUUGGACGGUCUGGCCUGGACUGUAACACUGACAAUGUUUAGUAUCUGGCCCUUUAGCAGGAAAACAAAGUUUGGUCACUCCUGGCCGGUGGGAAUUAAAAAGCAAACCAAAGAGCAUUAAAUGUCACAUUCAUGGUUACGUGUCUGUGUGUGCAAAAGUGAAAAGCUGAAUGGGCACCCCGUGGAGGGCCCCGCCCCCACCAGAGCAGGAGGGAGAGAGAUUGGAUAGGCACAGGGCACCUCACCUCUUUUAUUGAAAAGGGGAGGUGGGCAACUGUACCGGUCUGCGGGUGGUCAGAUUUACGCAUCUGCAGCUCAGGGUUUCCCCUGGAAGCCUGGAUGCUCCGAGCAGGUUACCCUCUCUGAGCCUCAGUUCUCUCACCUGUAAAAUGGGCACAUUCAAGUCCAUCUGGGAGGAUUAUUUUUUUUCAACGAUCAGAUGACCAUCGAGAGGUGUUCGGUGUGGGGACAGGUACCUAAUGAAACUCCAAAAAUUGGUAAGGGGGGGGGGG
This is a long non-coding RNA of Neofelis nebulosa (Clouded leopard), 773 nucleotides long. RefSeq lists it as uncharacterized. NCBI's taxonomy places the organism in Eukaryota, Metazoa, Chordata, Mammalia, Carnivora, Felidae. The transcript is spliced from 3 exons. The record is from RefSeq and is a predicted model, not a curated record.